RNAcentral lists this ribosomal RNA (253 nucleotides) under uncultured bacterium. Its description in RNAcentral is "partial 16S ribosomal RNA". It matches the Rfam family "Bacterial small subunit ribosomal RNA", at positions 524 to 776 of the family's 1533-position model. The record is from RNAcentral.
UACGUAGGGCGCAAGCGUUAUCCGGAAUUAUUGGGCGUAAAGAGCUCGUAGGCGGUUUGUCGCGUCUGCCGUGAAAGUCCGGGGCUCAACCCCGAACUUGCAGUGGGUACGGGCAGACUAGAGUGUGGUAGGGGAGACUGGAAUUCCUGGUGUAGCGGUGAAAUGCGCAGAUAUCAGGAGGAACACCGAUGGCGAAGGCAGGUCUCUGGGCCAUAACUGACGCUGAGAAGCGAAAGCAUGGGGAGCGAACAGG